This 515-nucleotide ribosomal RNA is filed under the name uncultured freshwater bacterium. Its description in RNAcentral is "bacterial SSU rRNA". It matches the Rfam family "Bacterial small subunit ribosomal RNA", at positions 8 to 571 of the family's 1533-position model. The record is from RNAcentral.
AGAGUUUGAUCCUGGCUCAGAGCGAACGCUGGCGGCAGGCCUAACACAUGCAAGUCGAGCGCCCAGCAAUGGGAGCGGCAGACGGGUGAGUAACGCGUGGGGAUCUGCCCAAUGGUACGGAAUAACCCAGGGAAACUUGGACUAAUACCGUAUGUGCCCUUCGGGGGAAAGAUUUAUCGCCAUUGGAUGAACCCGCGUCGGAUUAGCUAGUUGGUGAGGUAAAGGCUCACCAAGGCGACGAUCCGUAGCUGGUCUGAGAGGAUGAUCAGCCACACUGGGACUGAGACACGGGCCAGACUCCUACGGGAGGCAGCAGUGGGGAAUAUUGGACAAUGGGCGCAAGCCUGAUCCAGCCAUGCCGCGUGUGUGAUGAAGGCCUUAGGGUUGUAAAGCACUUUCGCCGGUGAAGAUAAUGACGGUAACCGGAGAAGAAGCCCCGGCUAACUUCGUGCCAGCAGACGUGGGAAUACGAAGGGGGCAAGCGAUGCUCGGAAUCACUGGGCGUAAAGCGCACG